UGGGGAAUAUUGCACAAUGGGCGAAAGCCUGAUGCAGCAACGCCGCGUGAGUGAUGAAGGCCUUCGGGUUGUAAAGCUCUGUCUUUUGGGACGAUAAUAACGGUACCAAAGGAGGAAGCCACGGCUAACUACGUGCCAGCAGCCGCGGUAAUACGUAGGUGGCGAGCGUUGUCCGGAUUUACUGGGCGUAAAGGAUGCGUAGGCGGAUAUUUAAGUGAGAUGUGAAAUACCCGAGCUUAACUUGGGUGCUGCAUUUCAAACUGGAUAUCUAGAGUGCGGGAGAGGAGAAUGGAAUUCCUAGUGUAGCGGUGAAAUGCGUAGAGAUUAGGAAGAACACCAGUGGCGAAGGCGAUUCUCUGGACCGUAACUGACGCUGAGGCAUGAAAGCGUGGGUAGCAAACA
RNAcentral lists this ribosomal RNA (402 nucleotides) under uncultured bacterium. RNAcentral describes it as "bacterial SSU rRNA". It matches the Rfam family "Bacterial small subunit ribosomal RNA", at positions 355 to 774 of the family's 1533-position model. The record is from RNAcentral.